Molecule: non-coding RNA, 1053 nt
Organism: Paralichthys olivaceus (Japanese flounder)
Lineage: Eukaryota; Metazoa; Chordata; Actinopteri; Pleuronectiformes; Paralichthyidae
Source: RefSeq, a predicted model, not a curated record
AGGAACCAAGACAAAGUACAUGAGGCAUCCGAAGAAAGUAAGAACUGAGGCAGAGACACACGAGGAGGGUUUGGGCCUGAUGGCAUCCGCUCCACGCUCCUCAACUCCUGCGCUGACCAGCUGUGCAGGAUUAUGGAGCACAUCUUCGAUAUGAGCAUGACUGGGGAGAAAUCCACAUUCCUGGAAGAGCUCCUGAAUGGUACCAGUGCCUAAGACUACACUCCCCAGUACAGGGGCGCUCCCGAAGACCUUUUAUGACACUGUUGGGAUCGGCCAUCUUCUUUGGACUCGGCCGAGGCAGCAUCAUUUUAACCGCCGACAGGAAGAGACUGGAUAGACUGGUUAGGAGGGCCAACCCGGUCCUGGGAUACCUGCUUGACCCAGUGGAGGUGGUGAGACAGAGGAGGAUUGAUAACCAGUCCCACCCUCUGCAGGACACCAUCACAGCACUGGGCAGCUCCUUCAGCGACAGACGGAGAGGUGUUGCCGGUCGCUCCUUCCUGCAGCAGUAAGACUGUACAACCAGCUCUUGCUCCCAGUGAACCACAUGCACCUUUAAUGGACUUCUGCACUUCAACUCAGCUGACCUGUCGGGGCCUCUCGGUGCUUCAGAAAUAAUAACGGCACUGAGAACGGCAACAGCAGUGACAAGAGCUAUUACAAUGUCGCCCGACACAGCAACAGAGGACAGACAGCACUCAACUCCAGAUGGGCGCUUCCUGUGCCAGGCAGGAAAUGGCACCGUGCUCCCUCGCCAUCAUAUUUCAUUUUAGCAGGGACGGGAGAUGAUCAUCACUUCAUCUUCGGCACAUCCAUCCCUCCCAACGGUCUUCUCUCUCCCUGCCGCUCACUCCUGCCCUCCUCUGUGGUGCCUUCAAGUCAUCCUCCGUCACCCCACCUCUCUGACACCUCUCCUGCCACCCAACAGUUAAGUGCAUUUGCAGACCUGCUCAGAUAGGCUGUCAUAUAUAUUUCAAAGGCGUUUCAAAGCACAUUCAGACAGACUGAAUGCACAUUCACCGAGAGGCCAUGCAGGGUGCACUCCUGCGCCGG